This 323-nucleotide unclassified non-coding RNA is filed under the name rhizosphere metagenome. RNAcentral's name for it is "partial ribosomal RNA internal transcribed spacer region". The record is from RNAcentral.
GUAGGUGAACCUGCGGAAGGAUCAUUAUUGAAUAAACUUGAUGGGUUGUUGCUGGCUUCUAGGAGCAUGUGCACACCUGUCAUCUUUAUCUAUCCACCUGUGCACCUUUUGUAGUCUUAGAGGUGACGAGCGUGAAACUAUCGAGGAAUCUUUCCUCGGAAAAGGGGUCGUGCCAUGCGCAAGUGCGGCUGACCUUGAUCUCGCGUGAAUUUCCUCUGGGACUAUGUCUUUCAUAUACCACGUAAAAUAUCUCAGAAUGUAUCAUUAGGUCUCAGUGCCUAUAAAAUACAAUACAACUUUCAGCAACGGAUCUCUUGGCUCUC